This 466-nucleotide ribosomal RNA is filed under the name uncultured bacterium. RNAcentral describes it as "bacterial SSU rRNA". It matches the Rfam family "Bacterial small subunit ribosomal RNA", at positions 28 to 507 of the family's 1533-position model. The record is from RNAcentral.
GACGAACGCUGGCGGCGCGCCUAACACAUGCAAGUCGAACGAGCGAGAGAGAGCUUGCUUUCUCGAGCAAGUGGCGAACGGGUGAGUAACGCGUGAGGAACCUGCCUCAAAGAGGGGGACAACAGUUGGAAACGACUGCUAAUACCGCAUAAGCCCACGGUGCCGCAUGGCACAGAGGGAAAAGGAGCAAUCCGCUUUGAGAUGGCCUCGCGUCCGAUUAGCUAGUUGGUGAGGUAAUGGCCCACCAAGGCAACGAUCGGUAGCCGGACUGAGAGGUUGAACGGCCACAUUGGGACUGAGACACGGCCCAGACUCCUACGGGAGGCAGCAGUGGGGAAUAUUGCACAAUGGGGGAAACCCUGAUGCAGCGACGCCGCGUGGAGGAAGAAGGUCUUCGGAUUGUAAACUCCUGUUGUUGGGGAAGAUAAUGACGGUACCCAACAAGGAAGUGACGGCUAACUACGUG